This 253-nucleotide ribosomal RNA is filed under the name uncultured bacterium. RNAcentral describes it as "partial 16S ribosomal RNA". It matches the Rfam family "Bacterial small subunit ribosomal RNA", at positions 524 to 776 of the family's 1533-position model. The record is from RNAcentral.
UACGUAGGGGGCUAGCGUUGCUCGGAAUCACUGGGCGUAAAGCGCUCGUAGGCGGUUUGCUAAGUCAGGGGUGAAAUCCUGGAGCUCAACUCCAGAACUGCCUUUGAUACUGGCGAUCUCGAGUCCGGGAGAGGUGAGUGGAACUGCGAGUGUAGAGGUGAAAUUCGUAGAUAUUCGCAAGAACACCAGUGGCGAAGGCGGCUCACUGGCCCGGUACUGACGCUGAGGUGCGAAAGCGUGGGGAGCAAACAGG